RNAcentral lists this ribosomal RNA (465 nucleotides) under uncultured bacterium. RNAcentral's name for it is "partial 16S ribosomal RNA". It matches the Rfam family "Bacterial small subunit ribosomal RNA", at positions 28 to 507 of the family's 1533-position model. The record is from RNAcentral.
GACGAACGCUGGCGGCGUGCUUAACACAUGCAAGUCGUACGGUCAGGCCCUUUCUGGGGUACACUAGUGGCGAACGGGUGAGUAACACGUUGGUAACCUUCCCCCCACUUUGUGAUUACGCCAGUAAACUGGUGCUAAUUCUGGAUAUGUCUUCCUGCUCCAUGGGGGGGGUUGGAAAGCUCCUGCGGUUGUUGUUGGACUCGCGGCCUAUCAGCUUGUUGGUGGGGUAGUGGCCUACCAAGGCGGCGACGGGUAGCCGGCCUGAGAGGGUGACCGGCCACAUUGGGACUGAGAUACGGCCCAGACUCCUACGGGAGGCAGCAGUGGGGAAUAUUGCACAAUGGGCGCAAGCCUGAUGCAGCAACGCCGCGUGCGGGAUGACGGCCUUCGGGUUGUAAACCGCUUUCAGCAGGGACGAAGCUUUUUGUGACGGUACCUGCAGAAGAAGCACCGGCUAACUACGUG